AUUGAACGCUGGCGGCAGGCUUAACACAUGCAAGUCGAACGAGAGGCGGACGGGGGAGUAAUGUAUGGGAAACUGCCUGAUGGAGGGGGAUAACUCAUGGAAAAUGUCGCUAAUACCGCGUACACUAGGCUGAGCACCCGUGGGAGUAGGUAGUGGGUGGGGUAAGUGCCUACCAAGCCGCCGAUCUCUAGCUGGUCUUAGAGGAUGACCAGCCACACCGGGACUGAGACACGGCCCGGACUCCUACGGGAGGCAGCAGUGGGGAAUAUUGCGCAAGGGGGGCAAUCCUGACGCAGCCAUGCCGCGUGAAUGAAGAAGGCCUUCGGGUUGUAAAGUUCUUUCGGUGACGAGGCGUUAAUCACAGAAGAAGCACCGGCUAACUCCGUGCCAGCAGCCGCGGUAAUAC
This 406-nucleotide ribosomal RNA is filed under the name uncultured bacterium. RNAcentral describes it as "partial 16S ribosomal RNA". It matches the Rfam family "Bacterial small subunit ribosomal RNA", at positions 30 to 526 of the family's 1533-position model. The record is from RNAcentral.